Molecule: transfer RNA, 85 nt
Filed under: Phreatobacter aquaticus
Lineage: Bacteria; Pseudomonadati; Pseudomonadota; Alphaproteobacteria; Hyphomicrobiales; Phreatobacteraceae
Description: Phreatobacter sp. NMCR1094 tRNA-Leu
Rfam family: tRNA
About the family: Transfer RNA (tRNA) molecules are approximately 80 nucleotides in length. Their secondary structure includes four short double-helical elements and three loops (D, anti-codon, and T loops).
Source: RNAcentral
GCGCACGUGGUGGAACCGGUAGACACACGAGACUUAAAAUCUUGCGCCUUCGGGCGUGCCGGUUCGAGUCCGGCCGUGCGCACCA